GUGCUCGCUUCAGCCACACAUAUGCUAAAAUUGGACAAUUCAGAGAAGAUUAGCAUGGCCAAGGAUAAUAUGCAAAUUCGUGAAGUGUUCCCGAGGGUC
RNAcentral lists this small nuclear RNA (99 nucleotides) under Nannospalax galili (Upper Galilee mountains blind mole rat). Lineage: Eukaryota; Metazoa; Chordata; Mammalia; Rodentia; Spalacidae. The record is from RNAcentral.